Molecule: ribosomal RNA, 308 nt
Filed under: uncultured bacterium
Lineage: Bacteria
Description: bacterial SSU rRNA
Rfam family: Bacterial small subunit ribosomal RNA
Source: RNAcentral
GAAGCCACGGCUAACUACGUGCCAGCAGCCGCGGUAAUACGUAGGUGGCAAGCGUUGUCCGGAAUUACUGGGUGUAAAGGGAGCGCAGGCGGGUUUGCAAGUUGGAUGUUUAAUCGAGGGGCUCAACCCCUUUCCGCAUUCAAAACUGUAGAUCUUGAGUGGUGCAGAGGUAGGCGGAAUUCCCGGUGUAGCGGUGGAAUGCGUAGAUAUCGGGAGGAACACCAGUGGCGAAGGCGGCCUACUGGGCACUAACUGACGCUGAGGCUCGAAAGCUAGGGGAGCGAAUGGGAUUAGAUACCCCAGUAGUC